Molecule: non-coding RNA, 401 nt
Organism: Boleophthalmus pectinirostris (great blue-spotted mudskipper)
Lineage: Eukaryota; Metazoa; Chordata; Actinopteri; Gobiiformes; Gobiidae
Source: the annotation of a RefSeq genome assembly
CCAAUAUGUUCAGACACACAAUCACCUUUCUGGUGGUUUUGUUUAGAUUACAGGUCAAAGGUCAAGUUGAGGGUUCAGAUGUGACCCAGGAUGGAUUGAUUUGGGCACAAGAAGGAAAAGAAGCCACAAUGAGCUGCACUCACACAAAAGGAGCUAGCUAUAAUCAAAUGUACUGGUAUAGACAGCUGCCCGGAGAAACUAUGAGACUUGUAGUUUUUACAUCAUACCUCAAAGAUGACCACGACUUUGGAGAUUUCAGCAAAGAGAAAUACUCUGCUCAACGGGCCAAAGCUGAAAGUGGAACAUUUACAGUGAAAGAUGUAACAGCUGCAGAUAAAGCCAUGUAUUUCUGUGCUGUAAGUCAACACAGUGAAUCAAACUCAUGCAAAACCUCAACAUAA